RNAcentral lists this non-coding RNA (26 nucleotides) under Homo sapiens (human). The record is from RNAcentral. Lineage: Eukaryota; Metazoa; Chordata; Mammalia; Primates; Hominidae.
UGUGUGACAUUUGGCAAAUCCAUGAG